RNAcentral lists this ribosomal RNA (540 nucleotides) under Triticum aestivum (bread wheat). Its description in RNAcentral is "partial small subunit ribosomal RNA". Lineage: Eukaryota; Viridiplantae; Streptophyta; Magnoliopsida; Poales; Poaceae. The record is from RNAcentral.
AUGAAAACAUUUCCUUCCACUAAACGCAUAUCAUCGAAAAUCCAAAAAAUAAAUCCAAAAAUAUUACAAGCACCAGGAUUUAAACCCUGUUGGGUUGAGAAUACCACUGUUGUGCUCGCGGCGCUCCCAUCGUCUGGCUCGAGUAAUUUUGCAUGGACAAGAACGGACCACCACGCACCACCAUGGCCCAAGUGUGUUUGCCGGGGGAGCAUAGCAUUUAGCAGGGCUUCAUCAUCAACGGGCAGGCAAAACAAAGGGGCCGCUCUCCAACCAUUUCCUUUUCUUCUCCGAAGUCAAGAGUCAGAUUUGCCAUGUCAAGGACAAGAAAACAAAACCCCAUUAAAUUUACCACUGCCAUGUUCUUGUUCGGUCUGCGCCAAGAUCGCCCAUUCGUCCCUUUUAAUCAGCCGUCCCCUCUCCGGUAGAAGACAAGAUAAAAAAGAAAGAAAAAAACACCCCGUUCUCGACAUAGUUUCUCCCCCCCUGAGCCUCUCCAUCCAUACUUUUUCCGCGAGCCGUCGUUUUCGGCCAUGGGAUUGA